CUACGUGCCAGCAGCCGCGGUAAUACAGAGGGUGCGAGCGUUAAUCGGAAUUACUGGGCGUAAAGCGAGCGUAGGUGGCUAAUUAAGUCACAUGUGAAAUCCCUGGGCUUAACCUAGGAACUGCAUGUGAUACUGGUUAGCUAGAGUAUGUGAGAGGGGUGUAGAAUUCCAGGUGUAGCGGUGAAAUGCGUAGAGAUCUGGAGGAAUACCGAUGGCGAAGGCAGCACCCUGGCAUAAUACUGACACUGAGGUUCGAAAGCGUGGGUAGCAAACAGGAUUAGAUACCCUGGUAGUCCACGCCGUAAACGAUGUCUACUAGCCGUUGGGGUCCAUGAGACUUUAGUGGCGCAGUUAACGCGAUAAGUAGACCGCCUGGGGAGUACGGCCGCAAGGUUAAAACUCAAAUGAAUUGACGGGGGCCCGCACAAGCGGUGGAGCAUGUGGUUUAAUUCGAUGCAACGCGAAGAACCUUACCUGGUCUUGACAU
Molecule: ribosomal RNA, 487 nt
Filed under: uncultured bacterium
Lineage: Bacteria
Description: bacterial SSU rRNA
Rfam family: Bacterial small subunit ribosomal RNA
Source: RNAcentral